RNAcentral lists this ribosomal RNA (394 nucleotides) under uncultured bacterium. RNAcentral describes it as "bacterial SSU rRNA". It matches the Rfam family "Bacterial small subunit ribosomal RNA", at positions 30 to 426 of the family's 1533-position model. The record is from RNAcentral.
AUUGAACGCUGGCGGCGUGCUUAACACAUGCAAGUCGUGCGGUAACAGGCGUAGCAAUACGUGCUGACGAGCGGCGAACGGGUGCGUAAUACAUGGGAAUCUGCCCUUUAGUGGGGAAUAACCCGGCGAAAGCCGGGCUAAUGCCGCAUAAGAUCUUCGGAUGAAAGCGGGGGAUCGUAAGACCUCGCGCUGAUGGAUGAGCCCAUGUCGGAUUAGCAGUUGGUGAGGUAACGGCUCACCAAGGCGACGAUCCGUAGCUGGUCUGAGAGGACGGCCAGCCACACUGGGACUGAGACACGGCCCAGACUCCUACGGGAGGCAGCAGUGGGAAUAUUGGACAGUGGGGAACCCUGAUCCAGCGACGCCGCGUGUGUGAAGAAGGCCUGCGGGUUGU